UAGAGUUUGAUCCUGGCUCAGAAUGAACGCUGGCGGUAUGCUUAAUACAUGCAAGUCGAACGAAAUAUUUAGCACUUGUGUUAAAUAAUUUAGUGGCGAACGGGUGAGUAACACGUAAGAACUUACCCCUAGACGAGGUACAACAGUUGGAAACGACUGCUAAUACCUCAUAUUACCGGAAGGUGAAAGAAGCAAUUCGUCUAGGGCGAGGCUUGCGUCUGAUUAGCUUGUUGGUGAGGUAAAGGCUUACCAAGGCGACGAUCAGUAGUUGGUCUUAGAGGAUGAUCAGCCACAUUGGGACUGAGACACGGCCCAAACUUUUACGGGAGGCAGCAGUAAGGAAUUUUCCGCAAUGGGCGCAAGCCUGACGGAGCAAUACCGCGUGAAGGAUGACGGCCCAUGGGUUGUAAACUUCUUUUCUUGGAGAAGAAUUCUGACGGUAUCCAAGGAAUAAGCAUCGGCUAACUCCGUGCCAGCAGCCGCGGUAAGACGGGGGAUGCAAGCGUUAUUCGGAAUUAUUGGGCGUAAAGCGUCUGUAGGUGGUAAGGAAAGUGUAAUGUUAAAGAUCAGGGCUCAACCCUGGGAAAGCAUUGCAAACUAUCUUACUUGAGUUCGGUAGGGGCAGAGAGAAUUCCCAGUGUAGCGGUGAAAUGCGUAGAUAUUGGGAGGAGGACCGGUGGCGAAGGCGUUCUGCUGGGCCGUAACUGACAC
Molecule: ribosomal RNA, 711 nt
Filed under: uncultured bacterium
Lineage: Bacteria
Description: bacterial SSU rRNA
Rfam family: Bacterial small subunit ribosomal RNA
Source: RNAcentral